GCGGCUGUAAACAUCCUCGACUGGAAGCUGUGAGGCUGCAGAAAGGCUUUCAGUCGGAUGUUUGCAGCUGC
This is a microRNA precursor of Capra hircus (goat), 71 nucleotides long. Ensembl annotates it as microRNA mir-30a. Its record names the gene MIR30A. NCBI's taxonomy places the organism in Eukaryota, Metazoa, Chordata, Mammalia, Artiodactyla, Bovidae. The record is from Ensembl.